Molecule: ribosomal RNA, 505 nt
Filed under: uncultured bacterium
Lineage: Bacteria
Description: partial 16S ribosomal RNA
Rfam family: Bacterial small subunit ribosomal RNA
Source: RNAcentral
GACGAACGCUGGCGGCGUGCCUAAUACAUGCAAGUAGAACGCACAGUUUAUACCGUAGCUUGCUACACCAUAAACUGUGAGUUGCGAACGGGUGAGUAACGCGUAGGUAACCUGCCUGGUAGCGGGGGAUAACUAUUGGAAACGAUAGCUAAUACCGCAUAAUAUUAAUUAUUGCAUGAUAAUUGAUUGAAAGAUGCAAUUGCAUCACUACCAGAUGGACCUGCGUUGUAUUAGCUAGUAGGUGAGGUAACGGCUCACCUAGGCGACGAUACAUAGCCGACCUGAGAGGGUGAGCGGCCACACUGGGACGGAGACACGGCCCAGACUCCUACGGGAGGCAGCAGUAGGGAAUCUUCGGCAAUGGACGAAAGUCUGACCGAGCAACGCCGCGUGAGUGAAGAAGGGUUUCGGAUCGUAAAGCUCUGUUGUAAGAGAAGAACGGGUGUGAGAGUGGAAAGUUCACACUGUGACGGUAUCUUACCAGAAAGGGGCGGCUAACUACGUG